This 226-nucleotide ribosomal RNA is filed under the name uncultured Actinomycetales bacterium. Its description in RNAcentral is "partial 16S ribosomal RNA". It matches the Rfam family "Bacterial small subunit ribosomal RNA", at positions 106 to 334 of the family's 1533-position model. Lineage: Bacteria; Bacillati; Actinomycetota; Actinomycetes; Actinomycetales. The record is from RNAcentral.
AGUGAGUAACACGUGGGUGAUCUGCCUUGCACUCUGGGAUAAGCUUGGGAAACUGGGUCUAAUACCGGAUAGGAACCGUCUUUAGUGUGGUGGUUGGAAAGUUUUUUCGGUGCAAGAUGAGCUCGCGGCCUAUCAGCUUGUUGGUGGGGUAAUGGCCUACCAAGGCGUCGACGGGUAGCCGGCCUGAGAGGGUGUACGGCCACAUUGGGACUGAGAUACGGCCCAG